GAGCAAUGAUGAAAAGGUUUUACUAUAGACCUUUAUAACUAUGAAAAUUUCUACACUUGAUCUGAGCUCA
This is a small nucleolar RNA of Bison bison bison, 70 nucleotides long. Lineage: Eukaryota; Metazoa; Chordata; Mammalia; Artiodactyla; Bovidae. The record is from Ensembl.